GAUGAACGCUGGCGGCGUGCCUAAUACAUGCAAGUCGAGCGAACAGAUGAGGAGCUUGCUCCUCUGACGUUAGCGGCGGACGGGUGAGUAACACGGGGAUAAGCUACCUAGAAGACUGGGAUAACGUCGGGAAAGCGGAGCUAAUACAGGAGAAUAUAGGGAACCGCAUGGUUCAAUAGUGAAAGACGGUUUUGCUGUCACUUAUAGAUGGAUCAGCGCCUCAUUAGCUAGUUGGUAAGGUAACGGCUUACCAAGGAAACGAUGCGUAGCCGACCUGAGAGGAUGACCGGCCACACUGGAACUGAGACACGGUCCAGACUCCUACGGGAGGCAGCAGUAGGGAAUCUUCCGCAAUGGGCGAAAGCCUGACCGAGCAACGCCGCGUGAGUGAUGAAGGUCUUCGGAUCGUAAAACUCUGUUAUUAGGGAAGAACACCUGUGUACGUAACUAUUCACGUCUUGACGGUACCUAAUCAGAAAGCCCCGGCUAACUACGUG
Molecule: ribosomal RNA, 497 nt
Filed under: uncultured bacterium
Lineage: Bacteria
Description: partial 16S ribosomal RNA
Rfam family: Bacterial small subunit ribosomal RNA
Source: RNAcentral